AUGUCGUCGAGGUCCGGGGCCGCCAGGAUGCGAGCGUGCGGGCCGUGGGGCGAGGGCGGCAGCGGCGUCGUCGGGGACGCGCACGCGCUCGAGAGGGAGAUGUCGCGGGACGGCAGCCACUACAGCCUCUCCAGCGGCAUCCUGCCGUCCCUCGGCGCGCGGAGCAACCGCCGCGUCAAGCUUCGCCGCUUCAUCAUCUCGCCCUACGACCGCCGAUACAGAUUGUGGGAGACUUUCCUCAUAGUUCUCGUGGUCUACUCUGCGUGGGUCUCCCCAUUCGAAUUUGGCUUCAUUCGGAUUCCUACGGGAGGCCUAGCUGCGACGGAUAAUGCCGUGAAUGCAAUCUUCGCAGUUGACAUCAUCCUGACCUUCUUUGUAGCUUACUUGGACAGACUGACCUAUUUGCUGGAAGAUGAUCCAAAGAGGAUUGCUUGGCGUUAUGCUACCAGCUGGUUGGUUCUUGACGUUGCCUCCACCAUCCCAUCAGAAAUUGCUCGCAGGAUGCUACCUUCAAAGCUCAGAUCAUAUGGAUUCUUCAACAUGCUUCGUCUAUGGCGUCUCCGGAGAGUCAGCUCUCUCUUUGCUAGAUUGGAGAAGGAUAGACACUUCAAUUACUUCUGGGUUCGAUGUGCAAAGCUCAUUUGUGUCACACUUUUUGCCGUGCACUGUGCAGCAUGCUUCUACUAUCUCCUUGCUGAUAGGUACCCGGACCCAAAGGAAACAUGGAUUGGCAAUACCAUGCCAGAUUUUCAUUCCAAGGGCUUGUGGAUUCGCUACGUAACAUCAGUAUAUUGGUCAAUCACCACACUUACCACUGUGGGUUAUGGGGAUUAUCAUGCGGAGAAUAUAAGGGAGAUGAUUUUCAACAUUUUCUACAUGUUCUUUAACCUUGGACUGACUGCUUAUUUGAUUGGCAACAUGACCAACUUGGUUGUCCAUGGCACCAGCCGUACUCGAAAAUAUCGGGAUACAAUUCAAGCAGCAACCAGCUUUGCACUUAGGAAUCAGCUACCACCUCGGUUGCAAGAUCAGAUGAUAUCACAUCUUAGCUUAAAGUUCAGGACAGAUUCUGAAGGUCUUCAACAACAAGAGACACUUGAUGCGCUGCCUAAGGCUAUUAGAUCUAGCAUUUCACAAUAUCUGUUUCUCAAUCUGGUUCAAAACAUUUACUUGUUUCAAGGAGUAUCUAAUGAUCUGAUUUUUCAACUGGUUUCGGAGAUGAAAGCCGAAUAUUUUCCACCUAGGGAGGACGUCAUUUUGCAGAAUGAAGCACCCACUGACUUCUACAUUUUAGUUUCUGGUAGUGUGGAAUUAGUAGAGGUUCCAAAUGGUGCGGAGCAUGGUGCAGAACAGGUGGUUGGAGUGGCCAAGUCAGGAGAGGUUAUUGGAGAAAUUGGGGUUCUUUGCUAUAGGCCUCAACUAUUCACAGUCCGGACAAGAUCCUUAUGUCAGCUUCUACGGAUGAAUCGUACGGCCUUUCUCAGCAUUGUUCAAUCCAAUGUUGGAGAUGGAACUAUCAUAAUGAACAACCUUAUUCAGUUACUAAAAGAGCAGACAGACGGCGUAAUGGUGGGUGUUCUGAAGGAGAUCGAGAGCAUGCUAGCUCGAGGCCGUCUGGAUUUGCCAAUUACACUCUGCUUUGCAGUGACUAGAGGAGACGACCAUUUGUUGCAUCAACUACUUAAGCGUAAUUUGGAUCCAAAUGAGUCAGAUCAAGAUGGGCGUACGGCACUGCACAUAGCUGCUUCCAAAGGAAAUGAGCAAUGUGUCAAGCUUCUAUUAGAAUAUGGAGCUGAUCCAAAUGCCAGGGAUUCGGAAGGAAAGGUUCCGCUAUGGGAGGCUGUGUAUGCGAAGCAUGAUACGGUUGUGCAGCUGUUAGUCAAGGGCGGUGCAGAACUAUCAUCUGGGGAUACGAGCUUAUAUGCUUGCACCGCAGUCGAGCAAAACAAUAUAGAACUGCUCAAGCAGAUACUCAAGCAUGUCAUCGAUGUAAACAGGCCAUCCAAAGACGGAAACAUUCCGCUGCACCGUGCUGUCUGUGACGGGAACGUUGAGAUGGUUGAGUUGUUACUGAGACACGGAGCGGACAUCGACAAGCAGGACAGCAACGGCUGGACCCCAAGGGCUCUAGCUGAGCAACAAGGCCAUGAAGAAAUACAAAACCUGUUUAGAUCAGUGAUAGCACCAAGGAAGUACACAUCAAAUGGUAGGGUGACACCUAUGUUGCUAGGCAGGUUCAGCAGUGAUCCCUCGAUGCAAAAAGUGAUCCAUGAAGAUGUUGAGCAGCAACCCAGCAAAGUUCUUCCGCAAAGAAGGAAAGUCAGCUUCCACAACUCUCUUUUUGGUGUCAUCUCUUCGGCUCAUCCGCGCCGGGAGACUGACCAUCUGCUCUCAAGAGGUCUUGCGGCAACAGGCGGUCCGACUUAUCCUCAGGCCCAUCACAACCCACUCAUCAGGGUGACAAUCAGCUGCCCCGAGAUGGGGAACACUGCUGGGAAGCUUGUGAUCUUGCCGGGGUCGAUAAAGGAGCUUCUUCAACUAGGUGCGAAGAAGUUUGACAUGAUGCCCACUAAGGUCCUGACAAUUGAGGGCGCAGAAGUUGACGAGGUUGAGCUCAUCAGAGAUGGUGAUCACCUUGUUCUCGCCAGUGAUGACUGGGUACCAGAUGAUACGCAAAUAAGAGGUAAAAAUUAG
This 2694-nucleotide ribosomal RNA is filed under the name Triticum aestivum (bread wheat). Its description in RNAcentral is "partial small subunit ribosomal RNA". The record is from RNAcentral. Lineage: Eukaryota; Viridiplantae; Streptophyta; Magnoliopsida; Poales; Poaceae.